This 172-nucleotide ribosomal RNA is filed under the name Corynascus sepedonium. RNAcentral describes it as "5.8S ribosomal RNA". The stretch from base 1 to 152 matches the Rfam family "5.8S ribosomal RNA". Rfam says of the family: 5.8S ribosomal RNA (5.8S rRNA) is a component of the large subunit of the eukaryotic ribosome. It is transcribed by RNA polymerase I as part of the 45S precursor that also contains 18S and 28S rRNA. Lineage: Eukaryota; Fungi; Ascomycota; Sordariomycetes; Sordariales; Chaetomiaceae. The record is from RNAcentral.
AACUUUCAACAACGGUCUGUGGUUCUGGCAUCGAUGAAGAACGCAGCGAAAUGCGAUAAGUAAUGUGAAUUGCAGAAUUCAGUGAAUCAUCGAAUCUUUGAACGCACAUUGCGCCCGCCAGUAUCCUGGCGGGCAUGCCUGUUCGAGCGUCAUUUCAACCAUCAAGCCCCCG